Molecule: ribosomal RNA, 406 nt
Filed under: uncultured bacterium
Lineage: Bacteria
Description: partial 16S ribosomal RNA
Rfam family: Bacterial small subunit ribosomal RNA
Source: RNAcentral
AUUGAACGCUGGCGGCAGGCCUAACACAUGCAAGUCGAACGAGUGGCGGACGGGUGAGUAAUGUCUGGGAAACUGCCCGAUGGAGGGGGAUAACUACUGGAAACGGUAGCUAAUACCGCGUACCAUCGGCUGUGCCCAGAUGGGAUUAGAUUGUAGGGGGGGUAACGGCUCACCUAGGUGACGAUCCCUAGCUGGUGUGAGAGGAGGACCAGUCACACUGGAACGGAGACACGGUCCAGACGCCUACGGGAGGCAGCAGUGGGGAAUAUGGGACAAUGGGCGCAAGCCUGAUGCAGCCAGUCCGCGUGUAUGAAGAAGGCCUUCGGGUUGUAAAGUACUUUCAGCGGGGAGGCGUUACCCGCAGAAGAAGCACCGGCUAACUCCGUGCCAGCCGCCGCGGUAAUAC